AUUGAACGCUGGCGGCAGGCCUAACACAUGCAAGUCGAACGAGUGGCGGACGGGUGAGUAAUGCCUCGGAACCUGCCGGAUAGAGGGGGAUAACUACUGGAAACGGCAGCUAAUACCGCAUACCAUCGGAUGUGCCGAGGUGUGAUUAGCUGGUUGGCGGGGUAAAGGCUCACCAAGGCGACGAUCACUAGCGGGUCUGAGAGGAUGACCCGCCACACUGGAACUGAGACACGGUCCAGACUCCUACGGGAGGCAGCAGUGGGGAAUAUUGGACAAUGGGCGCAAGCCUGAUGCAGCCAUGCCGCGUGUCUGAAGAAGGCCUUCGGGUUGUAAAGGACUUUUGGCAGGGAGGCGUUACCUGAAGAAGAAGCACCGGCUAACUACGUGCCAGCAGCCGCGGUAAUAC
This 406-nucleotide ribosomal RNA is filed under the name uncultured bacterium. RNAcentral's name for it is "partial 16S ribosomal RNA". It matches the Rfam family "Bacterial small subunit ribosomal RNA", at positions 29 to 526 of the family's 1533-position model. The record is from RNAcentral.